AUCUAGCGAAUGCACGCGAGAGCAAACUCAGUAUUCUUCUGACUCGCGGACUGUCAACACGUAUGUCAUUUAAUAUAUUUUUUUUAAGUUUUCCGCGAGUAUACUACUACGUAACUAGGAUAUAACAUUGAUGUGAAAAUGGCAUACUGAGGAUUUUUGUACGAUGAAUAGAUAAACGAUGAAAAUUAAAUAUAAGUAAAUAAAAACAAAAAUUGGACAUUGAUUGCUCGGAAAAUGGAAAACUUGAGAAUUGCCUCGAGUUGACAUUGAGAGGAAAUUACCACGUUUUUGCAAUUGAAAACGUAGAUAACAACAAAGUAUCUAAUUUGAAACAUAAAUAAGUACCAUUAAUAGGAGUUUUGACGUAAAUGGGGUAUCGGUAAGACUUUGUAUUUUGUAUUUAUUUAUUUAUCGCUGUUAAUAAUAAACUCUUCUAACGGUUUGUGUUUUAUUUUAAAGCAAUUACAUUUUAAUACAUUUAAAAUAAUCUUUCAUGCACUCAAAAAAAAAAUUAAUUAUCUAGGUAUGUGAAUAAAAAAAGUGCUUUCGCAUAAUGUAUGUAUGCAGUGAUCUGCGCUUUUGUGCCCGAUUUUACGCGACAAAAUCUAGCAUUAGUGACAUUGUAAACAAUCUGUGUCCUUUUGCUACACUACUUCUAACGAUAAAAGACAGGUACCUAACUAAACAAUUUAAGCAAAUAAAUAAAUUCACACAUAAUGUUGACCGUGAGGGCGUGAGAUAAAAACAGUCAUAGUAUACAAAACAACAGCGGAUUACAUAUUCACGGCUGAAAGGUUAUGGAGAUCCGCAAGUUUAGUAACUAAACCCCUAAGCAGUAAAUAAGGGAUGCAAAUUAUUGAAUACGUAUUAUAAAGGAAAGAAUUCCUAUCAUCAUCAUCAUCCUCCUGCCCUUAUCCCAAUUUUGCCAAUUUUUUUAUAAGGGAUAGAAUUUUAUGCGAAAUAAUUUCACUUUACUUUCAUUAACAUAACAUUUAACAAUUACUUACAGAAAAAUUGCAAAAAGUUAGUAAUAACAUCACUGGCCUCCAUCCACCCCAUUUCUAUUCUUUUUCGACCUAUACCGUUCUCAAAGUAAAUAUAAAAAAAAUACAGACAAGAAAUAAUCAAACAUUCUAAAUUAAUUUCAAACAGAAAUAACUGCAACAAAACUCAUUAAUAAAAAAUAUGCAUGCUGCAUAAGAAAAAAUAAAAUGCAUCGCUAUAGACUCAAUUAGUUUUAGAGUGGACAAACAACGUCCUUGGCAGAUAAAAUACCGGAUACUCGCUGUGUACCUGCACUUCCGGAUAUGAGUACUACAAUAGAUGAGUAUGGAUGACCUUCAGAGUGUGAUAGUAAAAUAUAAUCUGUUGAAAGGAUGCAAGAAGAUGUGACUAUUCGAACGGGUUGGUACCUGGUCUGGAGGUUCCUGGUCCUUGAGGUUCCUGUGCCGAUUAAUUUCAUUUCGAAAAACUUAAUAAAAGUCAGUUUAGCUGUAAAGUACUGAGGGUAAAUAUGCGGGGGAAACAGCGAGUGUAUUUGUAGUUAUAAAUGAAAAAAUCUGUUUGUCUACUAAGGCUUAAGUUUGCCAAGAACUAGCGCUUUUGUUUAAACAAUUGUUUAUUUUGAAAAUUGAAGGUUAAAAUUCAUAGUAAACAUUUGUUUUAAGAAAACUGACGUUUAUGUUCUCGGUGAACUUGGGCCUAGAGUUGCUUAGGACAAACGAAUGUAGGAUUAUCUCCGAGAACAAAUAUUUCCUUAAACUAAGUAUCUACACAGAAGUUCAACAACAGAAUCAGCCGUUAAAUGUGAACGUAUUACUUAACUGGCGAUGGCGUAACAAAACAAAUACAAGUAACAAUAUCUUUAACAAUUAAAGUCAAGGUAAGUGAGCGUUCUCUGUAACUAUAACACUUAUUACUGUUAAUUACAAGUUUUAACUCCAAUCGAGGACAAUGAGGUUACCAAAUACAACUGUCAAGUUACCAAGGAUUUUCGAAAAAAGUCGUAGAGAUUUUAAUAAAAUAAUGAAGCAGGUUGAGUCAACAGAAAAUAAUCUAUUGAAGAAGGUACCUAUAUUUUGUGUAAGAUAAGGUUAGGCAAAUGAUGAGAUGGUGGAAAAAUAGCGUUAAAUUAAAACUUGCUAGGUCUUAAUGGAGAGGUAUAUAUAUUCUUAGAACAUUACGAUUCAAUUAUUACUGUUGUGUACUCAUUCGAAGAAAUACUUUCACUUCUAGGAAGUUAAGUCAUCCAUAUAAUCAUAGAAAUAAAUAGAGUUUCUACUUUAUUUGGUGGAACGCAUCAAUCUCAGGCACCAUUGAUGGCGGAAGCAAGUGUUUUUAAUAUUAGUGAUAUUAUAGGGAAAACAUUAGUAUUACCAAAUAUCACUAAAAUCAAAAAGAACUCGACCAAUAUCAAAAUUCUUUUACCUGCUGUAUCCUUGAGUAACAUAAGCUACAUUUUAUCUAGCUACGCAAAGAAGUUCUCUUAAGAGGACGAAUUGGAAUUUUUGGCGCCAAGGAUCUCAAUUUUUCUCAGUAAAUACAAAACGGAUCAAAAUACAACUUGGUUACCUGAAAGU
Helicoverpa zea (corn earworm) is the source of this 2579-nucleotide long non-coding RNA. RefSeq lists it as uncharacterized. The record is from RefSeq and is a predicted model, not a curated record. NCBI's taxonomy places the organism in Eukaryota, Metazoa, Arthropoda, Insecta, Lepidoptera, Noctuidae. The transcript is spliced from 2 exons.